This is a long non-coding RNA of Scatophagus argus, 557 nucleotides long. RefSeq lists it as uncharacterized. The transcript is spliced from 2 exons. The record is from RefSeq and is a predicted model, not a curated record. Lineage: Eukaryota; Metazoa; Chordata; Actinopteri; Scatophagidae.
CAAACCCAUUUCUCUUGUUCUGUAUUUGUUGUUUCUUGUUUUGUGUGUGUAAUGUAUGUAUGUAUGUAAAAAAUGUAAUUAUAUGUUACGCCCGUUAUUGAGUUAACGGUUGUUUUGUAAAUAGGGAGAUUUUAUUUUGAAAAUCACUACAUCGCACUGACUCCUUGUGUGGCGUUGCCGGGGAAACCAAAAAACUGUUGGGAUAGAAAGGAAUUAACGGCAAACGAGAAAAGUAAGUUACAGGAGAAAAUUUUUUAAGACAGCAAAACAGAAACGACACAACAUCUAAAUUGAUUAUUGCAACCCCCCGAGGAGGCACAAGGUUGGUGUGUGUUGAUUUUUAAUUAUUUCUGAAUUAACUAAUUAUUUGUUAUACAUGUAUAUACACUUUAUAUGUAAACUCUUUGAUUGAAACGUAUUGUGAAUGUUAACCGUUUAUUGUGGACAGAGGUGGAAACGGAGAUGUGAUCGUUUUGUUUGUUUUUUGUUUGUUUGUCAGUUCUCACGUUGGUUCAUAGAGCUGGUUUAUGGAUCGGCAAUAAACCUUAAAACCAUCA